CCGAGUUUACAACUCCAAACCCAUUGUGAACCAUACCAAACUGUUGCCUCGGCGGGGUCACGCCCCGGGUGCGUCGCAGCCCCGGAACCAGGCGCCCGCCGGAGGGACCAACCAAACUCUUUCUGUAGUCCCCUCGCGGACGUUAUUUUUACAGCUCUGAGCAAAAAUUCAAAAUGAAUCAA
This 182-nucleotide unclassified non-coding RNA is filed under the name uncultured fungus. RNAcentral describes it as "sequence contains ITS1". Lineage: Eukaryota; Fungi. The record is from RNAcentral.